This 260-nucleotide long non-coding RNA is filed under the name Lathyrus oleraceus (garden pea). Its description in RNAcentral is "Pisum sativum (pea) long non-coding RNA (PSAT_LNC020432)". Lineage: Eukaryota; Viridiplantae; Streptophyta; Magnoliopsida; Fabales; Fabaceae. The record is from RNAcentral.
UUUAUUUGGUUUUCAGAUCCCCAACACCUUUAUUUGGUUGUUGCAUAGCCAUGGUAGUAUUUCCCCUUUCUGAGUUCCUGCAGGUGUUGGUUGGUUAUUUUGGUACAUUGGAAUUGGUUUAUUUAUCAAUCUCCAAGAGGAGUCUUGUGACUGUUGUUUUUCCUCUUGAGGAAUUUAUUGCCGAUUGCAUCCUCGUGUGGCACAUGCUUUGCCCUGACAGAUUUUAUUCCCUAGUGAAGUUCCCACAGAGUUGAUAUUUG